Molecule: unclassified non-coding RNA, 1104 nt
Filed under: Hevea brasiliensis (rubber tree)
Lineage: Eukaryota; Viridiplantae; Streptophyta; Magnoliopsida; Malpighiales; Euphorbiaceae
Source: RNAcentral
CCGCACCACCCAGUCGGGCUCCAUCGGCAGGUUGGUGACGAUGAAGCCGACACGCGGGAACAGUUCGCCCGGAUGCCAUUCGAUCUUGGCGAUCACCCGGCGUUCCUUGUCCCAGGAUGCCGCCUGAUACUCGAAGUCUUCGUAGAAGCGCUUGACCUUGGUCAGCGAAGGUCGCCCGACAGGGCGCGUCAGCCGAUGCGCGAUCUUCUCGCGCAGGACGUUGUUCGCAGGCAGCCGGAUGGCGUAGAAGAAUCGGGCUUCUUCCAGCCGCUCAUAGAUCGCGGGGAUCGCGUAGGCGGCGUCAGCCCGGAAGAACCGGCCGCAAAGGUCGCGCUCCGCGUAGCGGGCGAUGACGGGGUCGAGAACGUCCCGCCAGCCAUCGGCGCUGUGGACGUUGCCAUGGCGCAAGGCGCAGCGCUCCAGCAUGCCGAACUGGUUGAACAAAAAGUUCGGGUGAUAGCAGGUGCAGUCGAAAUGCCCGUUCCAGGCCGCGCCCUCCUGAUCGCCAUGGGUGGGGCUGACCGAACUGUCCAUGUCCAGAACGAUGUACUUCAGCCCGUUACGGUCAUGGAACCGGUCGAUCCAUUGGCCAUUCAGGUCGGCCAGCGCGGCACGGUUCUCGGGCUGUGCCAGUGUCUCGGUCUCGAACCGUCCCAUCUGCGAGGCCGAGGCCGCUUGCGCAUCGACAGCCCUUCCACCCACGACCUGGCGCAUCACCGGAUCGAGGGCCAGGCGGUCGGCGUCGUUCACAUCCUCGUAUCCGGCCAGUCGCCCGAACACCGAUUGCCGGAACAACCCGUCAAGCCGGUGGACCGUGUUCUUGCCGCGCCGGGUGUCGCGCAAUGCUUUUGCCGCCAGAUCGGACAGCCCGAGCGCGUCAUCCAGCUCGCGCAUCACCAGCAGGCCGCCGUCGGAACUGAGCUGCGCACCUCGGAACUCCACAUGCACCCGGCGGUCGAACUCGACCCGAUCUGCCCGCUUCGAACCCGCACCCUCUGGGUGAUCCAUCAAACGCGCCCCUCACGGCCAUCAACACCAUGAUUUAUAUCGGAAAUAUUGAGAUCCUGACAGCAAAAUCAGCGAUUUACUUGGGGAAUGUGGGUU